CAGCAGCCGCGGGAAUACGUAGGUGGCAAGCGUUGUCCGGAAUUAUUGGGCGUAAAGGGCUCGCAGGCGGUUUCUUAAGUCUGAUGUGAAAGCCCCCGGCUCAACCGGGGAGGGUCAUUGGAAACUGGGAAACUUGAGUGCAGAAGAGGAGAGUGGAAUUCCACGUGUAGCGGUGAAAUGCGUAGAGAUGUGGAGGAACACCAGUGGCGAAGGCGACUCUCUGGUCUGUAACUGACGCUGAGGAGCGAAAGCGUGGGGAGCGAACAGGAUUAGAGACCCGUGUAGUCCCUGUCUCUUAUAC
RNAcentral lists this ribosomal RNA (301 nucleotides) under uncultured bacterium. RNAcentral describes it as "partial 16S ribosomal RNA". It matches the Rfam family "Bacterial small subunit ribosomal RNA", at positions 509 to 807 of the family's 1533-position model. The record is from RNAcentral.